UAUUGAUCCUCGAACGUUCUCCCUGUCAACUCCGGAACUCCACCAGGGCGAGAGGCGGAAGUGGAGACGAUGAGGGGAGCCGCAGCUGUUGAUCCCGCGCUGUAAGGAUGGGAAGAUUUUUGUGUAGUUA
Molecule: non-coding RNA, 130 nt
Organism: Chelonoidis abingdonii (Abingdon island giant tortoise)
Lineage: Eukaryota; Metazoa; Chordata; Testudines; Testudinidae
Source: RefSeq, a predicted model, not a curated record